CUUGGACAAUGUGUUUUUCAUUUUUUAGUUAGUUUUUGUUUCUUGUUGCCAUUGAUCUUAUCUGCAAUUCAUUCCUAAAUUAUGACCGCGUUCUUUUUCUCGUUGGAAGUAAAAGGUCUUUCUUUUUGGGCUUUCUCAAUUAUAAAUCAAGAUAUUAUUCAUAAUUUGAAAAUAAUGAUAAGUAUACAUUGAAUAUAUAUGUCAGCGUUUAUAUGCUAUGAAAUUCAAAA
This 230-nucleotide long non-coding RNA is filed under the name Eucalyptus grandis. RNAcentral describes it as "long non-coding RNA (EGRA_LNC007210)". Lineage: Eukaryota; Viridiplantae; Streptophyta; Magnoliopsida; Myrtales; Myrtaceae. The record is from RNAcentral.